AGCCGGUGUACCCCGAUGGGUAAGGGGGCUUGCCGUUGGCGUAAGCCAGCGGCCAGUUGAUGCCAGGUUCGAGUCCGGCCCCGGCUU
Molecule: transfer RNA, 87 nt
Filed under: Candidatus Contendibacter sp.
Lineage: Bacteria; Pseudomonadati; Pseudomonadota; Gammaproteobacteria; Candidatus Competibacteraceae
Also listed under: 1 other name
Description: Candidatus Contendobacter sp. tRNA-Gln
Source: RNAcentral